AGGGGUGAGGCUCAGCUGGUAGAGUGCCCUUGCUUGUCAUGCAUGAAAGCCCUGGGUUCAAUUCCCAGCACCACAU
Mus musculus (house mouse) is the source of this 76-nucleotide non-coding RNA. Lineage: Eukaryota; Metazoa; Chordata; Mammalia; Rodentia; Muridae. The record is from Rfam.